UGAUGCAAGGGCAGCCUGGCUGGGACAUCUGUGUCCCUGUUGAUUGCCAAGGUUGGUACGGCAGCUCUGGCUGAUGAGGCAGGUGGCAUUUGUCUCCCUCACCAGUCCAUGUGUAUCUCUGUUCAAGCUGAAUGCUCGCUUGGUCAUGGUUAAAGGGGAUAGCUGUAGAGGAGAACCAUUCUUGUUUCAAGGGCAUAUGAAGAGCUGUGUUCCCCUGCCUUCACCUUGAAACAAGCUCUGAAGGAGUUAUAUAUAAAUGUCUGGUAGCAGUUACCUUCCUGUUGCUGUGACAAAACACCUGACCAGAAGGA
RNAcentral lists this small nuclear RNA (311 nucleotides) under Jaculus jaculus (lesser Egyptian jerboa). RNAcentral describes it as "7SK RNA (ENSJJAG00000007279.1)". It matches the Rfam family "7SK RNA". From Rfam's summary of the family: 7SK was discovered as an abundant small nuclear RNA in the mid-70s but a possible function has only recently been suggested. Two independent studies have found that 7SK RNA binds the CDK9/cyclin T complex (known as elongation factor P-TEFb). P-TEFb activates transcription by phosphorylating the C-terminal domain of RNA polymerase II. Lineage: Eukaryota; Metazoa; Chordata; Mammalia; Rodentia; Dipodidae. The record is from Rfam by way of RNAcentral.